RNAcentral lists this ribosomal RNA (762 nucleotides) under Rhizophagus cf. intraradices HG-2010. RNAcentral describes it as "eukaryotic LSU rRNA". It matches the Rfam family "Eukaryotic large subunit ribosomal RNA", at positions 38 to 648 of the family's 3401-position model. Lineage: Eukaryota; Fungi; Glomeromycota; Glomeromycetes; Glomerales; Glomeraceae. The record is from RNAcentral.
GCAUAUCAAUAAGCGGAGGAAAAGAAAAUAACAAUGAUUCCCCUAGUAACUGCGAGUGAAGAGGGACAAGCUCAAAUUUUAAAUCUAUCGGGUUUUACCUGAUCGAGUUGUAAUUUGAAGAAGCGUUUUCUGCGUAUUUGGUCAGCCUAAGUCCUAUUGAAUGAGGCAUCAUGGAGGGUGAUAAUCCCGUCCGGUUGAUCAUUUGCGUUUUACGAUACGCUUUCUAAGAGUCAAGUUGUUUGGGAUUGCAGCUUAAAAUGGGAGGUAAAUUUCUCCUAAGGCUAAAUAACGGCGAGAGACCGAUAGCGAACAAGUACCGUGAGGGAAAGAUGAAAAGAACUUUGAAAAGAGAGUUAAACAGUACGUGAAAUUGUUGAAAGGGAAACGAUUGAAGCCAGUCGUACCUUCGGGUAAUCAGCCUUUCGGGUGUGAUUCUGUGGAGUUUGAGGAGCUUUAACACCUUCAUGCUUUGCAUAUUCGUGCUCUUGGGUGUACUUGCCCGUGUGGUUGGUUAACAUCAAUUUCGGGCACCAUAAAAUGGCUGGAGGAAUGUAGCUUCGAUCUUGUAUUGAAGUGUUAUAGCCUUCGGUAGAUGUGGUGAUCGAGAUUGAGGAUUGCAACGGAUACCUUUCGGGGCUACCUGUCUGAUCUCUGAUCGUUGCUUUGGUGCUGAGAGCGUGCUUAUAGUUAUCAAAGUCGAUGGUUAAUAGGUUAGAAUGGGUUAAAUUCGUUAGGGAUGUUGACGUAAUGGCUUUAAACGAC